This 257-nucleotide ribosomal RNA is filed under the name uncultured bacterium. Its description in RNAcentral is "partial 16S ribosomal RNA". It matches the Rfam family "Bacterial small subunit ribosomal RNA", at positions 524 to 777 of the family's 1533-position model. The record is from RNAcentral.
UACGAAGGGGGCUAGCGUUUGGUUUCGGAUUUACUGGGCGUAAAGCGCACGUAGGCGGAUCUUUAAGUCAGAGGUGAAAUCCCAAGGCUCAACCUUGGAACUGCCUUUGAUACUGGGGAUCUCGAGUCCGGAAGAGGUGAGUGGAAUUCCCAGUGUAGAGGUGAAAUUCGUAGAUAUUCGGAAGAACACCAGUGGCGAAGGCGACUUACUGGACACAUAUUGACGCUGAGGUGCGAAAGCGUGGGGAGCAAACAGGG